Brassica oleracea var. oleracea is the source of this 1492-nucleotide long non-coding RNA. RefSeq lists it as uncharacterized. NCBI's taxonomy places the organism in Eukaryota, Viridiplantae, Streptophyta, Magnoliopsida, Brassicales, Brassicaceae. The record is from RefSeq and is a predicted model, not a curated record. The transcript is spliced from 5 exons.
CAGAAGAGACCGUCUCUUCUGAACACACGUCGUUCUCCGGACUAUCUUCUCCUUUUUCCUUUGUUCUCCUAUUCCCGGCGGCGAUUUUCGAAACAGGUGGUACCUUGAUUGCUUAAUUGAUUAGGGCAGAGAGAGAGAGAGAGAAGUAAACUUGAUUCUAAUGAAAGAAGAGAAAAAGAACCAGAAAUUGGUUGUCCCUCACAUCAUCCUCCGCCUCCACCUGAUGAGUUGUUCGACCUUGAUACUACAGUUGAUCCUAGCUAUGUAAUCUCACUGAUAAGAAAACUCCUUCUAGUCGAUUCUGGAAGUGAAGAAUGUGAUCAAAGCACUGAGUUAAGGCAUAUGAAUGCCAACAAUGCGGUUUAAGCUUGGUUUGGAGAUGAGUUUGUGGAUGCUGCUUCUAAGGGUGAUCCAGAGAACAUGGACAUUGGAGGUAACCAUAACGAAUCCACUUCCGAGGAGAAGGACAAGGCGAGUUCAUCAGUGGAAGAGGCAUGGGAAGAGCAUGGAUGCGUUUUGUGGGAUCUUGCCACCAGUGAAACCCAUGCUGAUCUUAUGCAGAGCUUGAGAAGAGGAAGCACAAGCUCAAGCAUCUUGUUCAAUCUCCCAACUCAUUCUUGCUUCCAACCGUGGUACCGUCAUGGAGCUUGGUAUCACUCCUAUUGUCACUUCUGGUCUCGUGAUGCAGCUCUUAGCUGGGUCUAAGAUCAUUGAGGUUGAAGAGGUGGGCAGAUACUUCUUCAUCUCAUGAAGAACAUCCUCCUAACAUAGACAAACGCUCGCUUCAGGAUCUGCUCUUCUUUCUCCAUGUUCCUCGAACUGGAGGCAGGACUUAUUUUCACUGUUUCUUGAGGACGUUGUAUGAUAACGCUGAGGAAUGUCCUCGUUCUUACGACAAGCUCCACUUCGAUCCAAGUUACUGACAUUUGUAGGAAGCAAAAGUGCAAGUUGUUGGCCACGCAUGAUGAUUAUAGUUUAAUGUCUAAGCUUUCACUGCAAAUCCACCCUUCAAGUCAGUUUCUUUAUUCUCUUUUCAUCACUCUCUGUCUAUGAAGGUCUGGUUUGGUUUCUUGUUGCUUUUAUUAUAAGCAGGUUAACUUAUAAUGUGUAUGUCAUUAGAGUACUAGGGUAGAUAUCACUGGCAAAACUGGAUUUAGUAGUUUCAUUGCCAAACAUGAUAUGAGAUUUUAGUAAAUUAUUAUUUUGCUCAGAAAUAGAGGUCUUGAAUGUGUGUUGUUACUUGUUAGCUUUUCAUGACGAUGAUACUUUGUGAUUCCAGGAUUCAUCAAAGGGAUACAUGGUAGCAUUCGCUGGUGCGAAAUAUGCUGGAAGAUCAGUUCCAACUAUGGUUGCAUACAACGAUCACGUCGUCACAAGCUUCACCCUUGUAAUUGGAUAAGCUCUAGAUUUUCAUCUUAUAGAAACUUGUACCUCUAUGAUGAUCAGAUGUGUUUAAUAAUUUUUUUAAGAACCCUUAAAUAAGAGACUUGCA